GCAGUGUGUUGGAAGCAUUACUGUCACCUCGUGUAUCUUCCCUUCAGUUAAAUCAGAAGGACAUAUCUGGCCAUUAAAACGUAACAUCUAAAAAAAUGGUGCAAACUGCUUGUGAAGUUCCAUGUGAAACAACUUCAGUUAAAGGUAUUUCUGAGCUUUUUUUCUUCUAUUGUACACCCUAAGCCCUUACCCUCAAUCAGAACAUGAUUGUAAAUUAAAUGUAUUCAUAGACGCUGCGAGACAAGACAAUGCAAGACGACAAUGAAGUCAGAAUAAUCUUGUGGUAAUUGCACUGCUCAUAGCAGAAACUCAAAUUUUCUUUUUUUUCUUUUCUACCCUUUUGUUAGUUGCCUCAUCAGCAAAAAUCUGGGUCACACAGAGUGGGUGUUCGUGGGGUUUUUAAAAACAUUCCAGAGUUAACAGAGCCAUAGAAACUUGAAGCAUUCUUCUUGUAGCAAUAUUGCUAAUCAUAAAAUGAUGUGUGAUUAAGUGCAAAUUAAGUAGUAAAGCAAAAUAACUGAGUGAAUAAAAAGAUCGUUAAACUGAACAUAAGGUGAUAUUAGGAGCAUAAAACUGCUGAGAAACAAGUUUCUAUCAGAGUAACAAAUAGGUUCUCUAAUCUGAGAUCUGUAUCUCUCAGCUUGUACUUAAAAAGCGCUUUCUCUCUUUUAAGGGAAGCGGGUCUUUAAGUACUCAGAAUGCAGGAGCAAGUUUCCCUUCUUGUCAGUCUGCAUGAGGCAAACACGAUUGGGAAAGAGAUUACAAAGAAAUAAAAGGAUAUUUGAAGUGUCAGUGAUGACAAAGUAUGAUCCAAUUCUGCUGCUGGUCUUUUUAAGUAGAGUGGUAAAACUGCAUUUUUAUGUAAAGUGACUUUCCCCUUUUGGUUCAUCUCCCUUUUUAAAGUGCAUAUGGAGAAUAACUUGUUCCACUGCUGUUGCCUCCUUUCACGGCAAACGUGUGGCAGAACUGCCUUUUCAAAAGUGGAUCAAAGAAUGCUACCAAUACAUUCUUCUCAUCUCCCAUUUAUCCUUCCAUGUCUGUCAUACAAACCAUUUAUUUUUAGGCUCCAAGGAAAGCAGAGAAAUUAAAUUUUCUGCCAACUUCAUUUCAAUGCCAUCUUCCUUUGUUUCUGAUUAAUUGGUGCACAGUGUGAUGUUCUUAAAUAAGCUGUUAUCUAACACAGUGGAAGUGAUGGAGAGGCAAGGGGAUCCCUGACAGUGACAUUACAGCUGCUACCUUAUAGGAGUGCUGUGGCUUUUCAUAUGUGAUUUGUGGUCUUCAGC
Molecule: long non-coding RNA, 1283 nt
Filed under: Cyanistes caeruleus (blue tit)
Lineage: Eukaryota; Metazoa; Chordata; Aves; Passeriformes; Paridae
Description: lncRNA (ENSCCEG00000014149.1)
Source: RNAcentral